UAACUGAAGAGUUUGAUCAUGGCUCAGAUUGAACGCUGGCGGCAGGCUUAACACAUGCAAGUCGAGCGGGGGAAGGUAGCUUGCUACUGGACCUAGCGGCGGACGGGUGAGUAAUGCUUAGGAAUCUGCCUAUUAGUGGGGGACAACAUCUCGAAAGGGAUGCUAAUACCGCAUACGUCCUACGGGAGAAAGCAGGGGAUCUUCGGACCUUGCGCUAAUAGAUGAGCCUAAGUCGGAUUAGCUAGUUGGUGGGGUAAAGGCCUACCAAGGCGACGAUCUGUAGCGGGUCUGAGAGGAUGAUCCGCCACACUGGGACUGAGACACGGCCCAGACUCCUACGGGAGGCAGCAGUGGGGAAUAUUGGACAAUGGGGGAACCCUGAUCCAGCCAUGCCGCGUGUGUGAAGAAGGCCUUAUGGUUGUAAAGCACUUUAAGCGAGGAGGAGGCUACUUUAGUUAAUACCUAGAGAUAGUGGACGUUACUCGCAGAAUAAGCACCGGCUAACUCUGUGCCAGCAGCCGCGGUAAUACAGAGGGUGCGAGCGUUAAUCGGAUUUACUGGGCGUAAAGCGUGCGUAGGCGGCUUAUUAAGUCGGAUGUGAAAUCCCCGAGCUUAACUUGGGAAUUGCAUUCGAUACUGGUGAGCUAGAGUAUGGGAGAGGAUGGUAGAAUUCCAGGUGUAGCGGUGAAAUGCGUAGAGAUCUGGAGGAAUACGAUGGCGAAGGCAGCCAUCUGGCCUAAUACUGACGCUGAGGUACGAAAGCAUGGGGAGCAAACAGGAUUAGAUACCCUGGUAGUCCAUGCCGUAAACGAUGUCUACUAGCCGUUGGGGCCUUUGAGGCUUUAGUGGCGCAGCUAACGCGAUAAGUAGACCGCCUGGGGAGUACGGUCGCAAGACUAAAACUCAAAUGAAUUGACGGGGGCCCGCACAAGCGGUGGAGCAUGUGGUUUAAUUCGAUGCAACGCGAAGAACCUUACCUGGCCUUGACAUACUAGAAACUUUCCAGAGAUGGAUUGGUGCCUUCGGGAAUCUAGAUACAGGUGCUGCAUGGCUGUCGUCAGCUCGUGUCGUGAGAUGUUGGGUUAAGUCCCGCAACGAGCGCAACCCUUUUCCUUACUUGCCAGCAUUUCGGAUGGGAACUUUAAGGAUACUGCCAGUGACAAACUGGAGGAAGGCGGGGACGACGUCAAGUCAUCAUGGCCCUUACGGCCAGGGCUACACACGUGCUACAAUGGUCGGUACAAAGGGUUGCUACACAGCGAUGUGAUGCUAAUCUCAAAAAGCCGAUCGUAGUCCGGAUUGGAGUCUGCAACUCGACUCCAUGAAGUCGGAAUCGCUAGUAAUCGCGGAUCAGAAUGCCGCGGUGAAUACGUUCCCGGGCCUUGUACACACCGCCCGUCACACCAUGGGAGUUUGUUGCACCAGAAGUAGCUAGCCUAACUGCAAAGAGGGCGGUUACCACGGUGUGGCCGAUGACUGGGGUGAAGUCGUAACAAGGUAGCCGUAGGGGAACCUGCGGCUGGAUCACCUCCUUA
RNAcentral lists this ribosomal RNA (1535 nucleotides) under Acinetobacter baumannii. Its description in RNAcentral is "bacterial SSU rRNA". It matches the Rfam family "Bacterial small subunit ribosomal RNA". Lineage: Bacteria; Pseudomonadati; Pseudomonadota; Gammaproteobacteria; Moraxellales; Moraxellaceae. The record is from RNAcentral.